GGGUCGUUAGCUCAGUCGGUAGAGCAGUUGACGCUUAAUCAAUGGGGCACAGGUUCGAACCCUGUACCACCCA
RNAcentral lists this transfer RNA (73 nucleotides) under Serratia sp. JKS296. RNAcentral's name for it is "tRNA_Lys_CTT". It matches the Rfam family "tRNA". Rfam says of the family: Transfer RNA (tRNA) molecules are approximately 80 nucleotides in length. Their secondary structure includes four short double-helical elements and three loops (D, anti-codon, and T loops). Lineage: Bacteria; Pseudomonadati; Pseudomonadota; Gammaproteobacteria; Enterobacterales; Yersiniaceae. The record is from RNAcentral.